CACGUAGGGCGCAAGCGUUGUCCGGAAUUAUUGGGCGUAAAGAGCUCGUAGGCGGUCUGUUGCGUCCGCUGUGAAAACCCGGGGCUUAACCCCUGGCUUGCAGUGGAUACGGACAGACUAGAGGUAGGUAGGGGAGAAUGGAAUUCCCGGUGUAGCGGUGAAAUGCGCAGAUAUCAGGAAGAACACCCGUGGCUAAGGCGGCUCUCUAGUACGGUACUGACGCUGAGACGCGAAAGCGUGGGGAGCGAUCCGG
This 253-nucleotide ribosomal RNA is filed under the name uncultured bacterium. RNAcentral's name for it is "partial 16S ribosomal RNA". It matches the Rfam family "Bacterial small subunit ribosomal RNA", at positions 524 to 776 of the family's 1533-position model. The record is from RNAcentral.